GAUGAACGCUGGCGGCGUGCCUAACACAUGCAAGUCGAACGGAGAUUACGGACGGAAGUUUUCGGAUGGAAGCCUGUAAUUCUUAGUGGCGGACGGGUGAGUAACGCGUGGGCAACCUGCCCUAUACAGGGGGAUAGCAGCUGGAAACGGCUGGUAAGACCGCAUAAGUCGGUUAAAUCGCAUGAUUUGAUCGGGAAAUGAGCAAUCAGGUAUAGGAUGGGCCCGCGUCCGAUUAGCCAGUUGGCAGGGUAAAAGCCUACCAAAGCGACGAUCGGUAGCCGGACUGAGAGGUCGGACGGCCACAUUGGGACUGAGACACGGCCCAAACUCCUACGGGAGGCAGCAGUGGGGGAUAUUGCACAAUGGAGGAAACUCUGAUGCAGCGACGCCGCGUGAGUGAAGAAGUAUUUCGGUAUGUAAAGCUCUAUCAGCAGGGAAGAUGAUGACGGUACCUGACUAAGAAGCCCCGGCUAACUACGUG
This 481-nucleotide ribosomal RNA is filed under the name uncultured bacterium. Its description in RNAcentral is "partial 16S ribosomal RNA". It matches the Rfam family "Bacterial small subunit ribosomal RNA", at positions 28 to 507 of the family's 1533-position model. The record is from RNAcentral.